RNAcentral lists this ribosomal RNA (278 nucleotides) under uncultured bacterium. Its description in RNAcentral is "partial 16S ribosomal RNA". It matches the Rfam family "Bacterial small subunit ribosomal RNA", at positions 29 to 334 of the family's 1533-position model. The record is from RNAcentral.
AACGAACGCUGGCGGCAGGCUUAACACAUGCAAGUCGAACGAUCCCUUCGGGGAUAGUGGCGGACGGGUGAGUAACGUGUGGGAACAUGCCCUUGGGUAGGGAACAACCACUGGAAACGGUGGCUAAUGCCUUAUGAUGUCUACGGACCAAAGAUUUAUCGCCCAGGGAUUGGCCCGCAUUGGAUUAGCUAGUUGGAGAGGUAACGGCUCACCAAGGCGACGAUCCAUAGCUGGUUUGAGAGGAUGAUCAGCCACACUGGGACUGAGACACGGCCCAG